GACGAACGCUGGCGGCGUGCUUAACACAUGCAAGUCGAGCGGUAAGGCCCUUUCGGGGUACGACGAGCGGCGGAACGGGUAGGAGUAACAACGUGGGUGGACCUCGCCCUCCAGCUCUGGGAGUAAAGACCGUCGGGAAACCGGGGUACCGUAAUAACUGGAGUAUGACUCCACUGACGCAUGUUGGUUGGGGUGGGAAAGACCUU
RNAcentral lists this ribosomal RNA (206 nucleotides) under uncultured bacterium. RNAcentral's name for it is "partial 16S ribosomal RNA". The record is from RNAcentral.